GCGGGUAUAGCUCAGUGGUAGAGUGCAUGCCUAGCAUGCAUGAGGUCCUGGGUUCAAUUCCCAGUACCUCUA
RNAcentral lists this transfer RNA (72 nucleotides) under Camelus bactrianus (Bactrian camel). It matches the Rfam family "tRNA". Rfam says of the family: Transfer RNA (tRNA) molecules are approximately 80 nucleotides in length. Lineage: Eukaryota; Metazoa; Chordata; Mammalia; Artiodactyla; Camelidae. The record is from Rfam by way of RNAcentral. RNAcentral also lists the same sequence under 2 other names.